ACCAGUCAACAGCUUGUAAACCGGAGUCAGCUCGGCCGAGGCGAAGACACCGGAGCGCUCCCCUCCCGUGGGUCAUCCGAGACCUCAAUGGACUCCGUUGUCACCGUCGCCGACGAGCGGGCUCCGCUCCUCCCCUCCUCCGCCGCCGCCGACGAUGACGAGAUCCGCCCCUGGCGGUCCGACCACCAUUCGCCGCUGGCGGAGGAGGCGGCCGACGGCGCUCCACCGAAGCCCCUCAAAAUCGCCGAACCGAGCCAACGCCUGGCGUCCCUCGACGUGUUCCGCGGCCUCACCGUCGCGCUGAUGAUUCUCGUGGAUGAUGCUGGAGGGGCGUUCCCGUCGAUAAAUCACGCGCCUUGGUUUGGGGUUACCCUCGCGGACUUCGUGAUGCCCUUCUUCCUCUUCAUCGUUGGAGUAUCGGUGGCGCUGGUCUUUAAGAAAACUUCAAACAAGGUGACAACUACAAAAAAGGCUAUCAUGAGGACAUUGAAGCUCUUUCUUUUGGGGUUGCUGCUGCAAGGUGGAUACUUUCAUGGUCGUGAUCAUUUGACUUAUGGGGUUGACAUAGAUCAUAUACGAUGGCUAGGAAUACUACAGAGGAUAUCCAUUGGAUAUUUUUUAGCAGCAAUGUCAGAGAUCUGGCUCAUCCGCAAUAUGUUGGUGGAUUCUCUAGUGUCGUAUGCGAAGAAAUACUAUUUGGAAUGGAUUGCUGCCGUCAUACUUACUUCGGUCUAUGUUGGUUUACUUUUCGGUCUCUAUGUGCCCAACUGGGAGUUUGCAGCUCCAAGCAGUAAUUCCACUUUACUAAGUCCAACUUAUGGAGUUGAAAUUGAAAGUGUGCAAUGUGGAGUGAGGGGUAGUCUUGGUCCUCCUUGCAAUGCUGUGGGCUCGAUAGAUCGACUUCUUCUUGGUGAAAAACACCUAUAUCAGAAUCCAGUCUAUAAAAGGACAAAGGAGUGCAGUGCUAAUUCUCCUGAUUAUGGGCCCCUUCCACCAAAUUCACCUGGAUGGUGCCUUGCUCCAUUCGACCCUGAGGGUUUAUUAAGUUCACUGAUGGCUGCUGUAACAUGUUUUGCUGGAUUACAUUUUGGGCACAUAAUCGUGCAUUCUAAGGGUCAUGCUCAGAGAAUCUUGUUCUGGUCCAUGACUUCUUUGGUCCUUCUACUCUGUGGAUUUAUUGUGGAGUUAGUAGGUAUGCCUUUUAGCAAGCCAUUAUACACAUUGAGCUACAUGUUUCUUACGACAGGACUGUCUGGCUUUCUACUAACUCUGAUAUACUACAUAAUUGAUGUCAAGCAGUUUAGAAGGCCAUUUAUGUUACUUCAGUGGAUGGGCAUGAAUGCCCUAAUUGUUUAUGUUUUGGCUGCUUCUGAGCUGUUUCCGGCAGCUGUACAAGGAUUCUAUUGGCGAUCACCUGAAAACAACCUGGUGGAUUUGACCGAAUCAUUGCUUCAAACCAUAUGUCAUUCCAAAAGGUGGGGCACUCUGGCCUUUGUGCUUCUGGAGAUUCUAUUCUGGUGUCUCGUUGCUGGCUUCUUACGUAUGAAAGGCAUUUAUAUAAAAAUGUAGCUCACGAGGAUCGUGUAUAUAUUGCCCAAGCACAUCUGUGAUUAACAUUCAGCCCCAACUGUUCCUCUACUGAAACAUUGCUGAACUGAAUACUUCUCUGUUCUCCUUGUUUUAUACUCUCUCCACCGUUGGCUUCUAUUAUUGGAAAACCCAACCCUAAUGACCGACUCCACAUCAUCAGGCUAAAGAGACACCAGGUGUUCCUUCCCUCCUGCCACAUAAGCUGACCAUUGAAACAUUUCUUCUUUUUUUUUCUGAAUCGAGGCCUUGCAUGCCAACAAGAAUCAUCAGACAGCAACAGGUACAUGGGAUGCUGAAGGAGCUCUGAUGAUUCAUGAUCUCUUGUUAGCACUGGAUUGUGGAUAGAUAUUCUUCGCCAAUAAUGUAAGCUACGCAGUUAUGAUGAGCAAG
Non-coding RNA from Phoenix dactylifera (date palm), 1980 nucleotides. NCBI's taxonomy places the organism in Eukaryota, Viridiplantae, Streptophyta, Magnoliopsida, Arecales, Arecaceae. The record is from RefSeq and is a predicted model, not a curated record.